This 650-nucleotide non-coding RNA is filed under the name Paenibacillus curdlanolyticus YK9. RNAcentral describes it as "Bacterial small subunit ribosomal RNA". It matches the Rfam family "Bacterial small subunit ribosomal RNA", at positions 1 to 632 of the family's 1533-position model. The record is from Rfam by way of RNAcentral. Lineage: Bacteria; Bacillati; Bacillota; Bacilli; Caryophanales; Paenibacillaceae.
UUUAUGGAGAGUUUGAUCCUGGCUCAGGACGAACGCUGGCGGCGUGCCUAAUACAUGCAAGUCGAGCGGACUUGAUGGAGUGCUUGCACUCCUGAUAGUUAGCGGCGGACGGGUGAGUAACACGUAGGCAACCUGCCCGUAAGACUGGGAUAACAUUCGGAAACGAAUGCUAAUACCGGAUACGCGAUUUUCUCGCAUGAGGAAAUCGGGAAAGAAGGAGCAAUCUUUCACUUACGGAUGGGCCUGCGGCGCAUUAGCUAGUUGGUGGGGUAACGGCCCACCAAGGCGACGAUGCGUAGCCGACCUGAGAGGGUGAUCGGCCACACUGGGACUGAGACACGGCCCAGACUCCUACGGGAGGCAGCAGUAGGGAAUCUUCCGCAAUGGACGAAAGUCUGACGGAGCAACGCCGCGUGAGUGAAGAAGGCUUUCGGGUCGUAAAGCUCUGUUGCCAGGGAAGAACACUUGAGAGAGUAACUGCUCUUGAGUUGACGGUACCUGAGAAGAAAGCCCCGGCUAACUACGUGCCAGCAGCCGCGGUAAUACGUAGGGGCAAGCGUUGUCCGGAAUUAUUGGGCGUAAAGCGCGCGCAGGCGGCUUUGUAAGUCUGUCGUUUAAGUUCGGGGCUCAACCCCGUGUCGCGAUGGAAA